This 465-nucleotide ribosomal RNA is filed under the name uncultured soil bacterium. RNAcentral describes it as "bacterial SSU rRNA". It matches the Rfam family "Bacterial small subunit ribosomal RNA", at positions 26 to 533 of the family's 1533-position model. The record is from RNAcentral.
AGAACGAACGCUGGCGGCAUGCCUAAUACAUGCAAGUCGAACGAACACUUCGGUGUUAGUGGCGCACGGGUGCGUAACGCGUGGGGAUCUGCCCUUGGGUUCGGAAUAACAGUUGGAAACGACUGCUAAUACCGGAUGAUGACGAAAGUCCAAAGAUUUAUCGCCCAGGGAUGAGCCCGCGUAGGAUUAGCUAGUUGGUGAGGUAAAGGCUCACCAAGGCGACGAUCCUUAGCUGGUCUGAGAGGAUGAUCAGCCACACUGGGACUGAGACACGGCCCAGACUCCUACGGGAGGCAGCAGUAGGGAAUAUUGGACAAGUGGGCGCAAGCCUGAUCCAGCAAUACCGCGUGAGUGAUGAAGGCCUUAGGGUUGUAAAGCGUCUUUUACCGAGUAUGAAUAAUGAACAGUAGUCGGAGAAAUAACGGCCCCGGACUAAACCGUCCGUCGACCAAGCCAACGCCGGUC